UUCUAUCUGAUUCAGAAGACCAGAUUGUAGUUAAGAUAAAUUAGUAUAUAACAGUAGUUGGGGACUUAGCUUAGUAAAUAAGAAAACUCAGUGGUAAGACAGAACAAGAGAAAGUAGAAUAGAAAACUGUCAUGGACAAAUCAUUUAUCACAAGCUAAAAAAUUGAAAUCUUGUUCUUCUCAGUUACAGAAAGUUCUAAGAACGAGACCCAGACAUUGAAUAAAGUUAAAUAAAAAGCAAUAAUAAUUUUAACAUAAGCUUUGACAGUUGCACAUGAGAAAAUUUGUUUUUCCUACUGUUGUUGACUUAAAAAGCAUUUUAGUGGCUUUCAAAAUAGUCUGUUGUAAUAAGACGCAAAUGGUAGUAAGUAUCUUUAUAAUCAUUAUCUCAAUCAUUGUAUCUUCUCUUUCAGCACUUUGUCAGGAAUAUUGAGUGACAUAGAUGAGCACAUUAAUGGAGAGGGAGAGGAACAGAAAUUUAUUGGCUGAUGAUUUUGAAGACUGGGAAGUCCAAUAUCAGGGUGCUGUCAUCUCACGAAGGCUUUCUUAUGGCGUGAUCACAUGGUGGUAAGCAAGAGGUCAAGAGAAGGGUAAGAGGGGGCUGAACUUACUCUUUCAUAAUGGUGCUAAUUCCACUUGUGAGGAUGGAGUUCUACAGGCCUAAUAACCUCUUAAAACUCCCAACACUGAAUACUGUUACAAUGGCAAUUACAUUUCAACAUGAGUUUUAGAGAGGACAAACAUUCAAGCCAUAGCAGGCUCCAAGUGUUGUGUACUCUACAAUUCCGGAAGCACUAUUUAGAUACACUAUGCCACCAGGUGAAAGAAGUCAGGAUCUAAUUUAGAAUAGAAACAGUGAGGAUGGAAAGAACUAUCUAGGAGGUAAAUUAAAUA
RNAcentral lists this long non-coding RNA (893 nucleotides) under Homo sapiens (human). Its description in RNAcentral is "HSALNT0087352". Lineage: Eukaryota; Metazoa; Chordata; Mammalia; Primates; Hominidae. The record is from RNAcentral.